This 509-nucleotide ribosomal RNA is filed under the name uncultured bacterium. RNAcentral describes it as "bacterial SSU rRNA". It matches the Rfam family "Bacterial small subunit ribosomal RNA", at positions 373 to 882 of the family's 1533-position model. The record is from RNAcentral.
GGACGCAAGUCUGAACCAGCCAUGCCGCGUGGAGGAUGAAGGUCCUCUGGAUUGUAAACUUCUUUUAUCUGGGACGAAAAAGGGCCUUUCUAGGUCAACUGACGGUACCAGAUGAAUAAGCACCGGCUAACUCCGUGCCAGCAGCCGCGGUAAUACGGAGGGUGCAAGCGUUAUCCGGAUUCACUGGGUUUAAAGGGUGCGUAGGCGGGCAUGUAAGUCCGUGGUGAAAUCUCCGAGCUUAACUCGGAAACUGCCUUGGAUACUAUGUGUCUUGAAUGUUGUGGAGGUGAGCGGAAUAUGUCAUGUAGCGGUGAAAUGCUUAGAUAUGACAUAGAACACCAAUUGCGAAGGCAGCUCACUACACAAAUAUUGACGCUGAGGCACGAAAGCGUGGGGAUCAAACAGGAUUAGAUACCCUGGUAGUCCACGCCCUAAACGAUGAUUACUCGACAUACGUGAUACACAAUGUGUGUCUGAGCGAAAGCAUUAAGUAAUCCACCUGGGAAGUA